GAAAUAUUAGGUUAUCUCAAACUUACAGCUUGUCAGACUGUAAAUCUCAUUCAUUAUGAGAUAUUUCG
This 68-nucleotide transfer RNA is filed under the name Asymmetron sp. A TK-2007. Its description in RNAcentral is "tRNA-Asp". Lineage: Eukaryota; Metazoa; Chordata; Leptocardii; Amphioxiformes; Branchiostomatidae. The record is from RNAcentral.